Molecule: long non-coding RNA, 306 nt
Organism: Alligator mississippiensis (American alligator)
Lineage: Eukaryota; Metazoa; Chordata; Crocodylia; Alligatoridae
Exons: 2
Source: RefSeq, a predicted model, not a curated record
GACGCGCUGGGGGCGGGGCGGGCCGGGGGUUGAGCGCCCUGCUGGGGGUGCGGGGAUGCCCCCACGUGAUCGGAGGGAGGCUCACAACCGAGCGGCACGAGCGCGGGGGAGGAAACUGAGCUGACAUGGAGCCAGCGCCCCUCCGUGUUCCUACUGUGCAUCAAAUAGGCCCAUGCCACCCAGCAAACCACACCUUACUCUUUCUGCAAAUGAAAACAGACUCUCAGCAGCACCUUCAUGAUGAAAACAGAGUUGAUGGAUUGAUGCUUUUUUCCCCUCACAUUCAAAAAAUAACUUAAAUUUAAA